This 84-nucleotide transfer RNA is filed under the name Candidatus Woesearchaeota archaeon. RNAcentral describes it as "tRNA-Leu". It matches the Rfam family "tRNA". Rfam says of the family: Transfer RNA (tRNA) molecules are approximately 80 nucleotides in length. Their secondary structure includes four short double-helical elements and three loops (D, anti-codon, and T loops). Further hydrogen bonds mediate the characteristic L-shaped molecular structure. tRNAs have two regions of fundamental functional importance: the anti-codon, which is responsible for specific mRNA codon recognition, and the 3' end, to which the tRNAs corresponding amino acid is attached (by aminoacyl-tRNA synthetases). tRNAs cope with the degeneracy of the genetic code in two manners: having more than one tRNA (with a specific anti-codon) for a particular amino acid; and 'wobble' base-pairing, i.e. permitting non-standard base-pairing at the 3rd anti-codon position. The record is from RNAcentral. Lineage: Archaea; Nanobdellati; Candidatus Woesearchaeota.
GCGGACGUACCGAAGUGGUUAAACGGGCAAGCUUCAGGAGCUUGUUGCUUAGUGCAUGCGCAGGUUCGAAUCCUGCCGUCCGCA